AAGUCGUAACAAGGUUUCCGUAGGUGAACCUGCGGAAGGAUCAUUAAUACGUACUUUUCACGUAUCACUCAAUCGUGGACUUGUCCCGCUUUUUGUGGAGAGUUGAAGGCGAAAUUUUGUGGUCAUUUUAACCAGCGUGGGGGAGAGAAUUCUAACGAGUUCUCUCUUUUUGACCUGUUCGCCGAGGAUUAAUAAAUCGACUCGCCAAAGAUGAUUGGAAAGACAAGUGCAGCUUGUUCUGCAUGCAUCAAUUCGAUCAAAACUUUGGCUGUUUCGAUUCGACUCUUUACAAAGCGUUUUUAACCAAUCCAUGCUGGGAUCAAUUAUUUUACCCCAAGUACUAUUAUCAUGAACUAAAUGUGUUUUUUCGCUUAACUGUGAAAAAACGCCAAAUACCGAAACUUAAGAACAACUCUUAACAACGGAUAUCUUGGUUCUC
RNAcentral lists this unclassified non-coding RNA (439 nucleotides) under fungal sp. Its description in RNAcentral is "partial internal transcribed spacer region". The stretch from base 1 to 46 matches the Rfam family "Eukaryotic small subunit ribosomal RNA", at positions 1786 to 1831 of the family's 1831-position model. The record is from RNAcentral. Lineage: Eukaryota; Fungi.